This is a long non-coding RNA of Salvia miltiorrhiza (redroot sage), 706 nucleotides long. RefSeq lists it as uncharacterized. The transcript has 2 exons. Lineage: Eukaryota; Viridiplantae; Streptophyta; Magnoliopsida; Lamiales; Lamiaceae. The record is from RefSeq and is a predicted model, not a curated record.
AAAGUUGACCAUAUAAUUGUAAUUAAUUUUGAUUCCGUAUGUUUUAUACAAAAUCCAAAACAAUGAUACAAAGUCGUGGAAUUUAUAUAUAUAGAAUCGUGGAUUUAUUGAGAAGAAUUAACCAUAUGAUUGUGAUUAAUUUUGACAGUGCAAUUAAAAGGAUAGAAUAAAGGAUUAUUUUAUUUAUUUAUUUUAAUAGUACAAAUGAUUAAUUAUUUUUUAUUUUGUUGAUGUAUAGAUCUUCUAAACUAAUUUCAGCAGCGUCCCUACCUCUCAAGUCUUGGCGGAUAUCCGACGGGUAGCGCGUUGGCGGAUACCCCACGGAUGGCGGGUAUCCACGGGUCGUGGGUAUGGGUGGCAAAUAGUAGUGAUGUCAAUGCUAAGAAGCAACAGAGCCCCUACCUCUCAACUCUCAAGCCUCGGCGGGUAUCCGACGGGUAGUAGGUGGCGAGUAUCCGACGGAUAGCGGGUGGCGGAUACUCGACGGGUGGCGGGCAUCCACGGGUCACGGGUAUGGGUGGCAAAUAGUAGUGGGUGACAAAUAAUUUUUUUUAAUAUACGUUUCGCUAAGUCAUGUUUGGGAUGAAAGUUCUCUUUAAUUUAUUUUUUUAUUUUAGUUUGAUGUGUAACGUAGACCUAUGUUAUAUUAACAAUUUUUUAGUGGAUAAUCUCCAUAAUUUAUAAAUAUAUUAAAAAAUAAUUUCUA